UACGGAGGGGGCUAGCGUUGUUCGGAAUUACUGGGCGUAAAGCGCACGUAGGCGGCUUUGCAAGUUAGAGGUGAAAGCCCGGGGCUCAACCCCGGAAUUGCCUUUAAAACUGCAUCGCUAGAAUUGUGGAGAGGUAAGUGGAAUUCCGAGUGUAGAGGUGAAAUUCGUAGAUAUUCGGAAGAACACCAGUGGCGAAGGCGACUUACUGGACACAUAUUGACGCUGAGGUGCGAAAGCGAGGGGAGCAAACAGG
RNAcentral lists this ribosomal RNA (253 nucleotides) under uncultured bacterium. Its description in RNAcentral is "partial 16S ribosomal RNA". It matches the Rfam family "Bacterial small subunit ribosomal RNA", at positions 524 to 776 of the family's 1533-position model. The record is from RNAcentral.